CUUAAACUGUAACUUUAGUUUUCAUUCACUGUCGGUGCAAUCUUAUUGAACUGCUGGUUAUAGUUUACUACAGGAAAUCCAAUACCCCUUCUAAAAUUCAUGCCACACUGUUGCAAUGAGUUGGCGGUGGUUAAUAUAUGAGCUCAAUAGCACUAUGGGCCUCAAGAAUACCACACUUGAGGUUGCUAAUAUACCUGAUUCAAAUAUCAGAAACCAGUCAUUUGGGUAGCAGAGAGCAGAAUGAAAAAUUGGCUUGCAUUCCAGGUUCCAAGGCUCACCGGGUUUUUUUUGCUGAUAAAGAGUUGCCCUCAUGUACCUGAUCAUCUAGGCGCAGACGACGUCGCAGAAAGCUCAAGCGGAUGGACAAAGCAAGAAGAAAGCCUGGAUCAGAGUCAGAGAUAAGGAGAUUGUGAUAGCUACAGCUGAAGAGGCAACAAGGACAUGCUGAUUUCUAGAUCGGACAUCCUACUUAAGUAGCCGAGCAAGUGGUGUUG
Long non-coding RNA from Lolium rigidum, 494 nucleotides. RefSeq lists it as uncharacterized. The record is from RefSeq and is a predicted model, not a curated record. The transcript has 5 exons. Lineage: Eukaryota; Viridiplantae; Streptophyta; Magnoliopsida; Poales; Poaceae.